CUGCCUGAUGAUGAUCUGAUAUCAUGUCUCUUCUCUGAUUCUGUGCAGUGAAGAUCCUGAAUGAAAUCUGAUUGGGCAG
Protopterus annectens (West African lungfish) is the source of this 79-nucleotide small nucleolar RNA. RefSeq annotates it as small nucleolar RNA SNORD111. The record is from RefSeq and is a predicted model, not a curated record. The transcript has a single exon. NCBI's taxonomy places the organism in Eukaryota, Metazoa, Chordata, Ceratodontiformes, Protopteridae.